This 88-nucleotide transfer RNA is filed under the name Bacteroidota bacterium. RNAcentral's name for it is "Bacteroidetes bacterium (sediment metagenome) tRNA-Ser". It matches the Rfam family "tRNA". From Rfam's summary of the family: Transfer RNA (tRNA) molecules are approximately 80 nucleotides in length. Their secondary structure includes four short double-helical elements and three loops (D, anti-codon, and T loops). Further hydrogen bonds mediate the characteristic L-shaped molecular structure. tRNAs have two regions of fundamental functional importance: the anti-codon, which is responsible for specific mRNA codon recognition, and the 3' end, to which the tRNAs corresponding amino acid is attached (by aminoacyl-tRNA synthetases). tRNAs cope with the degeneracy of the genetic code in two manners: having more than one tRNA (with a specific anti-codon) for a particular amino acid; and 'wobble' base-pairing, i.e. permitting non-standard base-pairing at the 3rd anti-codon position. The record is from RNAcentral. Lineage: Bacteria; Pseudomonadati; Bacteroidota.
GGAAGAGUGGCAGAGUGGUCUAUCGCGGCAGUCUUGAAAACUGUUGGGUGUAACAGCCCCGGGGGUUCGAAUCCCUCCUCUUCCGCAA